UACGUAGGUGGCGAGCGUUAUCCGGAAUGAUUGGGCGUAAAGGGUGCGUAGGUGGCAGAUCAAGUCUGGAGUAAAAGGUAUGGGCUCAACCUGUACUGGCUCUGGAAACUGAUCAGCUAGAGAACAGAAGAGGACGGCGGAACUCCAUGUGUAGCGGUAAAAUGCGUAGAUAUAUGGAAGAACACCGGUGGCGAAGGCGGCCGUCUGGUCUGGAUUCUGACACUGAAGCACGAAAGCGUGGGGAGCAAAUAGG
RNAcentral lists this ribosomal RNA (253 nucleotides) under Holdemanella biformis DSM 3989. Its description in RNAcentral is "partial 16S ribosomal RNA". It matches the Rfam family "Bacterial small subunit ribosomal RNA", at positions 524 to 776 of the family's 1533-position model. Lineage: Bacteria; Bacillati; Bacillota; Erysipelotrichia; Erysipelotrichales; Erysipelotrichaceae. The record is from RNAcentral.